GGUAGGGUGGCCGAGCGUGUAGGCGGCGGGUUGUAGCCCUGAAGACAGAGGUUUAAGUCCUCUCCCUACCA
RNAcentral lists this transfer RNA (71 nucleotides) under Talismania bifurcata (threadfin slickhead). RNAcentral's name for it is "tRNA-Tyr". It matches the Rfam family "tRNA". From Rfam's summary of the family: Transfer RNA (tRNA) molecules are approximately 80 nucleotides in length. Their secondary structure includes four short double-helical elements and three loops (D, anti-codon, and T loops). Lineage: Eukaryota; Metazoa; Chordata; Actinopteri; Alepocephaliformes; Alepocephalidae. The record is from RNAcentral.